Molecule: long non-coding RNA, 160 nt
Organism: Cucurbita moschata (crookneck pumpkin)
Lineage: Eukaryota; Viridiplantae; Streptophyta; Magnoliopsida; Cucurbitales; Cucurbitaceae
Exons: 3
Source: RefSeq, a predicted model, not a curated record
UGGUGUUCAAAUCGGAGUUUCAAGAAACCGUGAUUUUCGGAUCUGUCAAGGAAAUUCCAGAAUUGUUGGAAUCCAUUCCGUCAAGAAAACUCGAACUCGGGAAGGCAUGCGUCAACCAUGUGAGUGAUGCCAUGGAUCGAUGCGGGAAUGCAUUCUGAAU